This 373-nucleotide ribosomal RNA is filed under the name uncultured eukaryote. Its description in RNAcentral is "partial 18S ribosomal RNA". It matches the Rfam family "Eukaryotic small subunit ribosomal RNA", at positions 592 to 976 of the family's 1831-position model. The record is from RNAcentral.
CAAUAGCGUAUAUUAAAGUUGUUGCAGUUAAAAAGCUCGUAGUUGAAUUUUUGCUUGCCGCCGAUGUCGGAACUUCCGUACGUUCGGCGGCGUGCAUCCUUGGGUGGAACCUGUGUGGCAUUAGGUUGUCAUGCAGGGGAUGCUCAUCGUUUACUGUGAAAAAAUUAGAGUGUUCAAAGCAGGCUUAUGCCGUUGAAUAUAUUAGCAUGGAAUAAUAAGAUAGGACCUUGGUACUAUUUUGUUGGUUUGCGCACCGAGGUAAUGAUUAACAGGGACAGUUGGGGGUAUUCGUAUUCCAUUGUCAGAGGUGAAAUUCUUGGAUUUCUGGAAGACGAACUACUGCGAAAGCAUUUACCAAGGAUGUUUUCAUUAA